RNAcentral lists this long non-coding RNA (938 nucleotides) under Salmo salar (Atlantic salmon). Its description in RNAcentral is "lncRNA (ENSSSAG00000094429.1, ENSSSAG00000107427.1)". Lineage: Eukaryota; Metazoa; Chordata; Actinopteri; Salmoniformes; Salmonidae. The record is from RNAcentral.
AUAUAUAUAUAUAUAUAUAUAUAUAUAUAUAUAUAUAUAUAUAUAUAUAUAUAUAUAUAUAUAUAUAUAUAUGUGUGUGUGUGUGUGUGUGUGUGUGUGUGUGUGUGUAUAUAUGUGUGUGUGUGUUUUAAUUGAGCAUGUACUUUAUCGCUCAUUAUUUGUAUUAUUUUAUAGUCUUUGUUGCUCAUCAUUAUCAAAGGUGCUAAUCUUUUUGUACCUGGCUGUAUAUGCUCUGUAUUGCUAUGGGUAUUGGGGAUAUAUGCCAUAUUAUAUAGUGUAUAUUAUUCCUAUAUGACUAAUGUCAACUGUGCUGCUAUUGGUGUUUCAACAAAACAGCUCUGAGGGAUAAUGUAAUGUCGUUAUGAAUUAGGUUAAACCUCAUUCAAACCUCAUUCAAAACAGCUCUAAGGGAUAAUGUAAUGUCGGAUAAUGUAAUAAGGGAUAAUGUAAUGUCGGAUAAUGUAAUGUCGUUAUCAAUUAGGUUAAACCUCAUUCAAAACAGCUCUGAGGGAUAAUGUAAUGUCGUUAUGAAUUAGGUUAAACCUCAUUCAAAACAGCUCUAAGGGAUAAUGUAAUGUCGUUAUGAAUUAGGUUAAACCUCAUUCAAAACAGCUCUAAGGGAUAAUGUAAUAAGGGAUAAUGUAAUAAGGGAUAAUGUAAUGUCGUUAUCAAUUAGGUUAAACCUUAUUCUUCUUGUUCGUUAUUUUUUUUUGCGCUAAACAACCGUUUAAUUUUUACAAAGAAUAAACUUGAACAACUAAUUUGAUCUCUGUUAAAUCUUUCAUGUUUUUAUGUCUUUCAAUGUUUAUGGUGAAAUGUUGCUACGCGUUUUAAAUGAUGUUACUUAAUGAGACAGAGACUUGGUGUCAAUUGGGCAUAGAGUCGAUUAGAUUUCCAGUUAUGCUUUCAUUCUAGUCUAUACACAUCAUCCUCUGUAG